GUUGCCGCUGGCUGGAGUAGGCAGAGGCAUGGAUGGAAUUGUGCCCCUAUUUCAAUGCAUCUAUUGCACAUCAGCUGUAAGGGGUUGUAGCACAUUCCCAAGGGCUAAUUCUCUGGAUUUGUCUAUAGGAUCCAGUGGACAUAAAGAGCAGCGCAGAGCCUGAGCCAGAGCCGGAGCCGGAGGCAGCAGCUCUCGAACCCAGUCCUGUGGAAGCCGCAGAAGAAAACAACCCGUCAGAGGAGGUCAAAGCAACAGAAAAGACAGUUAUGAACUUUUUCAAAACAUUUGUCACUCCGACCAAAACAAGCAAAGAAGCCAAAGCCACUCCAGAUGCUUCAAAAGAGCAGGUACAGGAAGCACCCAAGGCACCUCCUCCUCCUCCCCCAGCACCACCUAAGAUGGAAAGCAAAGCAGAGCCGGUGGUGAAGAAAGAGGAAACGUCUUCAACAAAAGCAGUAGCAGCAGCUGCAACAAAAGCAGAGGGAUCUGCCAAGAGCAAAACCAAAGACAGUGCAUUAAGCAAACUCUUCCGUUCAAAGGUGUUGCUAGGCAAGGUGGUGUCAAAAGUUCAGGCGGCAACAAGCAGUGGAGCCAGAGCUAAGACGUCAGGAGUGCCUGUUGUGGUGGAAGAGAAAAAGCCGGUUGAGGUGCAGGUCGAUGCGUCUAAGACCAGCACUCUUGAGGCCGCUGCCAAACCUGAAGAACCUCCGGCGCCAAAACCAGAGGAGAAGAAACUAGAAAAGAAAUCCACUUUUGGAAACAUGUUCAAACCCAAGGCACCAGAGCCCAAGAAGGACACUCCAGCUGCUCCUCCCGUGGCAGAAGCCGCUCCACCCGCAAAGGCCAAAGAGGAGCCGAGACCCACCACUCCUGCACAGCAAGCGGUCCCGGACAACAAAUCAGCCGACAGCACAGGGAACGCCUCCCCCAACAUGCCCCACAAGCUGGAGAAGAGGAACUCCCUCCAGCUGUUCUUCAAAAACCUGGGCCAAAAACGCCAUUCUGAUGCCGGAGUGCAAACGGACCCUGUGGCACCCGAGAAGGCCAAAUAAAACCCCGCCUUUGUUUUGAUCGCUCAUCUGUGCCAAAACCAUUGGCAGCCAUGCACAUAAGAACAUAUUUACCAAAGUUGGGAGGUAUUAUGCUGACUUGCAAGGCCCAAGUUUGAAGUAACUAUCAAAUAAUAAUCUGAAUUCCCAUGCAUUUAAUGAGAGCAGAAGUAAGUGUAACGAUUUCCCUGUUAAGCAAGUGCUACAUGUGUUUAUGACCGGAGGGAGGAACUCGUGUUGUUUUUCAGAGAGAAACGUGUCAGAGUUGCGUGGUGUGGCAUGAGAUGGAAAAGUGAAAGUGAAAAUGUAAUCCUGCAUUGAAGAUAAACUCCCUUUUUUAUGUGCAUGUUAAAAUGUAAAAUAUGUUAACUAUACUAACACUACUUAUAUUGCAUCACACAUUAAAGCCGAUGCAUUAAGAUGCCUUUUCACCGGGACAAAGAUAACAUCAUGCGCGUUUGCAUGUGAAAAGAAUUUAUUUAUGUAAUCAUACACUGUCAUCUGAUUAUGAAUACAAUGACCCAUCGUCUGCUGAAUUCAAUCACUGAAACCUACAAAGCCAAUUUGAAUUCCACUUAAAGUGCAAAACUUCUGAAUCACUUUAAUAAAUCCAUAGAAAUCACAAUUAUUUAUUUAACAUAAUGUCAAUCAAAUUGAGCACCAUAUAUUAUUACUCCAAAUUAUUCGGUUAUUUAAGUUCAGCCCAGUUUCUAUUUAAAAAAUAAUAAUUGUUUUCAUUUCUACAAUUGUUUAUUAAUCAUAACUUACUAACUAAACCACAUUACAAUUAUUGUCUUUUUAUUUGCUUGGCCGUCCAUUUCUGACCGGAGGAGACUAAAAAGAAAUUAAGCUAGUUAAAUGUUUUAUUUUCUUUCUUAUUUUCCGAACAUAUCAGUUGUUAUUAGAACAGUAUGAAAUAAAUAUGUGGUAUACAGUUAUGCAAUAUACAAUGUACAUUCAAUUUAGCUGCAGUCACAUGUGUUUUAUGAUUUUCUUCCUAAUUAUCGCUACAUUUGUAAAGAGUAGAUGGGCCUAAUUAAGAAUUCAGACUGUAUCCAUGAAUCUUAGACUUUCUGUAACUCCUUUGUUGCAUUUUUGUCUAUUUAACCAAUUUAUAAAAAUAAAAGAAUCAUUUCUCUCCUCUGUAAAAAUGACUCGUUCUGUAUUUACAGCAUGAAAACAUAGAUUUUAAAAUAUAUAGUUUUACAUUUUCCUGGGGGAAAAAAAGUGUUUGCUGGUGUAGGUUUCCACAUGGCUAUAUAUAUAUAUAUAUAUAUAUAUAUAUAUUGUAAUUAUGAUUUAGUUUACAGCUAAUUUCUUAAUAGUUUGCUUUGUUAAGUCUGAUAUUUCCAAAGAGGGCAUGUGUCCGGACCGCCUACAGGGCAGCACAAAUUUGGAAAACUAUUAACAUGGGACAAAAGAUGCAUGGUAUUCUAGGCACUUUUUGUGAGUGCAGUGUGCUCUUCAUGCUGGUGUUUUCCCG
Molecule: long non-coding RNA, 2532 nt
Organism: Cyprinus carpio carpio
Lineage: Eukaryota; Metazoa; Chordata; Actinopteri; Cypriniformes; Cyprinidae
Source: Ensembl